AAGUCCUGCCUCAUUGAUUUCCAAAGGUAUACUGAUCGUUUGUACGGCGUCGUUGUGGUUUUUUUUAUACUGCACUCUCAUUUUUCUAUUGAAUUGAGCAGGGAUAUAUAGUACUCAGUCUUUCCAGAUGGAUGAAGAGGAAGGCUUUGGAAGGAGAAGCAGUGCUCAGAAAUUAUAGCAUCGGUCUACGGGGAGAUACAACUAGAGUUGGAGAAUGAUAGGUCGGUAUAUACAGAUAGAUAUGAUUAUCAUGUACUGGUUUUUAAUCAAAUCACAAAGAAGAUUAGAGUAUAAUCAACAUCAUUCCUUGGCUUAUUCUUGCCUUCAUCAUAAGCCCAUUCCCACAUAU
Arabidopsis thaliana (thale cress) is the source of this 349-nucleotide long non-coding RNA. RefSeq annotates it as other RNA. The transcript is spliced from 2 exons. The record is from RefSeq. NCBI's taxonomy places the organism in Eukaryota, Viridiplantae, Streptophyta, Magnoliopsida, Brassicales, Brassicaceae.